GACGAACGCUGGCGGCGUGCUUAACACAUGCAAGUCGAACGCUGAAGCUCAGCCUUUGUUGGGUGGAUGAGUGGCGAACGGGUGAGUAACACGUGAGUAACCUGCCUCCUUCUUUGGGAUAACGCCCGGAAACGGGUGCUAAUACUGGAUAUUCACUGGUCUUCGCAUGGGGGUUGGUGGAAAGGGUUUUUCUGGUGGGGGAUGGGCUCGCGGCCUAUCAGCUUGUUGGUGGGGUGAUGGCCUACCAAGGCUUUGACGGGUAGCCGGCCCGAGAGGGUGACCGGUCACAUUGGGACUGAGAUACGGCCCAGACUCCUACGGGAGGCAGCAGUGGGGAAUAUUGCACAAUGGGCGCAAGCCUGAUGCAGCGACGCCGCGUGAGGGAUGGAGGCCUUCGGGUUGUGAACCUCUUUCGCUCAUGGUCAAGCCGCAACAAUGGUUGUGGUGAGGGUAGUGGGUAAAGAAGCGCCGGCUAACUACGUG
RNAcentral lists this ribosomal RNA (483 nucleotides) under uncultured bacterium. Its description in RNAcentral is "partial 16S ribosomal RNA". It matches the Rfam family "Bacterial small subunit ribosomal RNA", at positions 28 to 507 of the family's 1533-position model. The record is from RNAcentral.